RNAcentral lists this unclassified non-coding RNA (293 nucleotides) under Hevea brasiliensis (rubber tree). The record is from RNAcentral. Lineage: Eukaryota; Viridiplantae; Streptophyta; Magnoliopsida; Malpighiales; Euphorbiaceae.
AGUUCGCAACAUGCUUUCAUUCUCGUAUGUUCCCUUAACAUUCACCAUUAUUGUACUGGAGGCAUUACAUUUGAUUUCUUGUAUCGUUUUUCCAUUUCAAAGAAUACUAUGCUUUAUGGCUUUUUCACUUUGGAUGAAGUGUUUUUCUUUUAAUAUCAUUUAAUACAUGUGAUUUUAAUUUUUUUAAUCACUUCUAAUACUAUUUUGUCACUUAUCAUUAAUAAUAUGUUUUAUAUAGCUCUUGUAUAUUAUUAUAUGAGGCCAAAUGUUUAUUAAUAGCUUUUGUACAUGGC